Molecule: long non-coding RNA, 1050 nt
Organism: Orcinus orca (killer whale)
Lineage: Eukaryota; Metazoa; Chordata; Mammalia; Artiodactyla; Delphinidae
Exons: 5
Source: RefSeq, a predicted model, not a curated record
ACAGGAAUAAAUGGAAAUAUGAAAGAAAUACUGAUGUGCCUGGCCCAUCUUGUCACACAUUGUUUUGAAGGAAGCCAGUUCUGUUUGGGAAAUGACAACAAGAUCACCUCAGGCUCCCUCUGCUGCUGUCCAGCCUCCCUGGCCCUGUGAGAAGAGUAUUCUCCCUUGGGAUCCUGGACAUCCCACCUUUGAGAGAGAUUUAUAUACGCGGUAACGAAGAGCAGGAAUGUUUGGGUACCCAAGAAGACCAUCCUGCUGAAACCCCAGCAAAACUGGAUGUUUAGGUUAGCAAGGCUGGGACCUGUUUAGCAAUGUCUCAGACACAGGAGGAUGAGCCACGCAGGAGCGAAGAUUUUUCAGAACAGCAGAUUUUCUUCCACCGCUUCUCCGGCCUCCUUCUCACCACCUCAUGCCUGCCGAGGCAUUUGUCAAAAGUUCCUUCUGAGUUCUCCAGUCCCUUUGUCCAGCGUGAUCUCUCUGAAUUCAAGUGUGAAGAAAAAGACUUUGGCUUAGGUAAGAAAAGGGGAGACUGGACAGCGGGAAAGGAAAAGAGCCACUCUGAGCAUUGGGACCAGAUGUUUUCUAGCAGUUAUCUCUUAAGCAGAGAGAGAGAAGUGCUCAAGAACACAUUUGGUACAUGUCAUGGCAGGAUUUGGGCAAAAAGAGAUAUAUGACCUCCUAAAAAGACAACAUGAAUGUAUUUAUAGGUUGGGAAUUAAAAUAGAUCGUAUAACUCACAAUAUUCAUGACACCAUCAAAUGUCUACUUCACUUCUGGUUCUAAAUUAAGGUGACCAAAUUACAAUGAUCAAAAUAAAAGAAAAUCGUCAUUAUUUUCACUCUGUAAAAGCUUCCCAGAGAACUUUGGAUCUUGGUGGGGAUAGGGCGAGGAGGGACAUCACCUUAGUCUUUACACACCAUGAGGAAAGUGAAAGAGGUGUGUUCUUGUAUGUGUAGGGGAAACCAGGAACAGCAUGAUGACAUAAUUCACCGAGGGUGGCCAAAAUCAUCGCAGGGUUCUAAGCAUCCGUAUAUAAUAUAUCCUUCACCA